RNAcentral lists this long non-coding RNA (840 nucleotides) under Drosophila melanogaster (fruit fly). Its description in RNAcentral is "long non-coding RNA:CR30055 (Dmel_CR30055)". The record is from RNAcentral. Lineage: Eukaryota; Metazoa; Arthropoda; Insecta; Diptera; Drosophilidae.
CAGAAACCAAACGGACCACUAGCGAGCUACAACUCUGCCACGGCUACACUUUACACACUCAUGUACUCCUCCACCACCUCACUCGCCAGCGCACUCACACACAGACGCGUGCGUGCGGAGAGAGGAAGUAAAAAUAUGAAGACAAAAAAAAGCAAGUGCAUCUCACCAUGACAAUGGCGGAACCAUAAAAACACAUGUUCCCAUCUCGAAUCGAACUGAAUUCGGCGGCCAGCUCCUUCACAAAAUAAAAUAAUACAGACAAAAAAUCUGUAUACGCGCAAAAGUUGAGCUGCUAAAACAUGGAAACCUUGCAGUUAUCGAUUCGUCUCGCUCAUUGCGCAAUGAAAAAAAUGCAGCGGGGGCGGAGGAUACGAGAGAGCCUCUCUCUUUGUGAGACACCUGCAGCGAUAGGAAAUGCAAAUCCGCCUUCCACUUUCCAGCUCGAAAGUUCAAAGUUCACAUGCAACUAACUAGCUACUGGGUGCAGCGCAUGUCCGAGGUGCACCAAAGUCCCUGGACCAAACAAAAAAAUGGCACAAACCAAACUCUCCGACUUCCAGGCGCCGCAGGAAGAUCUGUCAUGGAAUGCGGCACUAGGAAAUAUUAACUGACGCUGAUCAAGUGAUAUCUGAAAUGUGGUAAAGAGGUUCCUGUCACACGGACCCAUUUCUAUAAAAAAAACUAAUUAGUUUGAUAUUCGUACGUGUUCUGCAAAUUAUCAGAUGUUUUUAACUCUCUUGAGUCACAUGAUAUUUAAUGUGAUAAAAACUUUUUGUUAUUUAUUGUUUGUUUGUCCUAAAAAAUUGACAACACAGUAAAUGGAAAACUUUACUAUAAAAU